RNAcentral lists this ribosomal RNA (500 nucleotides) under uncultured bacterium. Its description in RNAcentral is "partial 16S ribosomal RNA". It matches the Rfam family "Bacterial small subunit ribosomal RNA", at positions 30 to 523 of the family's 1533-position model. The record is from RNAcentral.
AUUGAACGCUGGCGGCAUGCCUUACACAUGCAAGUCGAACGGCAGCACGGGAGCAAUCCUGGUGGCGAGUGGCGAACGGGUGAGUAAUAUAUCGGAACGUGCCCAGUCGUGGGGGAUAACGCAGCGAAAGCUGUGCUAAUACCGCAUACGAUCUCUGGAUGAAAGCGGGGGACCGUAAGGCCUCGCGCGAUUGGAGCGGCCGAUAUCAGAUUAGCUAGUUGGUGGGGUAAAGGCCCACCAAGGCGACGAUCAGUAGCUGGUCUGAGAGGACGACCAGCCACACUGGAACGGAGACACGGUCCAGACUCCUACGGGAGGCAGCAGUGGGGAAUUUUGGACAAUGGGCGCAAGCCUGAUCCAGCAAUGCCGCGUGCAGGAUGAAGGCCUUCGGGUUGUAAACUGCUUUUGUACGGAACGAAACGGCGAGCUCUAAUAAAGUUUGCUAAUGACGGUACCGUAAGAAUAAGCACCGGCUAACUACGUGCCAGCCGCCGCAGUAA